RNAcentral lists this long non-coding RNA (4883 nucleotides) under Sus scrofa (pig). RNAcentral describes it as "lncRNA (ENSSSCG00060044847.1)". Lineage: Eukaryota; Metazoa; Chordata; Mammalia; Artiodactyla; Suidae. The record is from RNAcentral.
GAGAAGGACUUUAAUUAGCUCUUGAUUGGGCUAAAUGUGCCACCAAAGUGAAAAGGAAGAGGCUUGUUCUCUAGGAGAACAAGAUUUAGUUCUUGUCUGGCAUAUUUAAUGGGUCAACAGACACUCAGUAGAACAAUCUCUUCCACUCCUUUCCCUCUCCCCCUCAAGCCUUUGGAAACGAGCUUUAUCAAAAUUAAAGCUAGAUGCUGCUGUCAGGGGAUGGCCUAAUGAAUUAAAUUGGAAUACCCAGGAAACAAACUUGAAAUCCUUUCCAACCAGAGGUGGUGAUGUACAGGAGCACGUCCUAUCUCUGGGGGGCAGAAUCCUAAGAAGAAAAUGGCCUCAGGCUCUGUCAGAGUGCCUGGUAUAGGAGGAUGCUAACUUCAGCCGGAGUUGGAAAUGAUAGCACUGGCUUUUCCCUGGUUCCAGAAAGGGGGGGAGGGGGAGGGUCGCAAUCUUUUUUCUGUGUAUGUUUGGUUAUAUUUUUGAGACGGGGGGCCUCCCCACCAAAUGCAUUCCAGGUUCGUAGUUCCAUUGCUCUCUGAAGGGGCUUGCUGGGGAAUGCUUUAGAAACUUGAAGGUAACUCAUUGUCUGUGGAGGUGAAAACUGCACGUCCUAUGCCAAGGUCAUGAAUGAAUUUCUCUCUAAUUCGCCAGUUGCCCAAAGCCCCAGAGUCCUGCCUCUUAUUUUUAUUCAUGCCUUUCUCUCAUGCCGCCGCAGAUGGCCUUUCUUCCUUUCUGCCCCCCCCCCCCCCCCCCCCCCCCCCCCCCCCNGGGGGUUAGCCUGUGUCUACUUCAAAGAAUCUGCAGCCCAGCUUGGCUCUUACUCCUUUGCCUGUGUCUUCACUAGACUGCUUAUUGUAUACGAUGUAUUCUGGGGAGAGUAUCUCAUUUUUGACUUCUCGGUGACUAGCUUCAGGAACACAGGGUUGAAUGGUGAAUGAAUGAAUGAAUGUCUUCCUUAUCAAUUUCAUCCUCCACACGGUGUUAAAAUACUCUAAUUUGCAUUACCUAAACCUGUUCAGAAUGCAUAUGUGACCUGCUUCCUGAAUUAGGCUAUCUUAUGACCAGACCCCUUGGAAUGAAUCUUCAGUUGCCUGUUACAUUUUCGUGAACUUGUGUGUGGUUUGAAACCAUUCCUUUUCCUUCUGAAAGCUUGGAAGGAAACUUGGAUAUUCAGGAGAAGAAAGUAGAUGCCCCCAUCUUCCACCUCCCCACAGGCCCUGGGGGGUCCCUGCCCUGGCUUUGCACACAAGGGCAUCCUUGAGCCUGUCCCAAGGGAGGAGAAAGGGAGGGGCACAGAGGCAGUCAACUGGUGGCCUCCAGGUAGGCUUUUCCUGAUAGGGAAGGAGGUGGCAGUAGAGAGAAUGGCCACUCUGUGAGCAUGGACCCAGCUGGCACUGGGACAGAACCAGACUCGGACAACCCAGUUCCUGUGAGAAAGAACAAGUCUUCGCACACACACCUGAAAAGAGUUCUAAUCUGUCCCCUAACUCUUGCCAAGGCCCCUCUCCAGAGCCUCUGCUGCUCUUGAUGCUGGCAGGUGGCAAAAUGAAAGCAGCAAGCUCUCCCCGUUAUGGCACUGCCACCCAAUUCCACAAAGCGCCCUUGAGCUAUAACCUGUUGACAGCUGAAUCAUCAAAAUAAAUAGCGAUUAUUUUCCCAGCAACAAAAAGAUCAUAGUCUCAAAGAUUCGGUAUUUCUUCAUAUGAAAAGAAGCAAAGGGCAUCAUUAAGGUCUUCGGAUGCCCUGUCUACAGCUCUGUGAUGGCAUCUAAUACUCCAAGGCCUAAAUGUCUUUAAAAGUUUAAGUGACUAUUCAACUCCUGGAUCGAGAGCAGCUUGGGGAAAGGACCUGGCCUCCUCUUCUGUGUCCCCAGAGCCCAGUACAAUACAAGAUGCAAAGUCACAACGCAACUUAUGUCUGUCCAGGGAAUGGCAGAUGACACAGGGAAGUGUGUGUGUGUGGUGGUGGUGGGGGGGGACAAACAUGGACCCGUCCACAAAGCCUAGAAUACCAAACUAGGGAGUGGCUCCUUGCAUCCUGAAGGAGACAGCUGUCAGAUGAAAAAGGGCAGGGAACUUGACAUGGCAUUGAGUCGCUCAUUCAGCAAGCUCUGCUGGACUUCCUUUUGUCCCUUCUCUUGGUAGGCAGUACUCACAGAUCACCACCAGGAUGAGGCUUGGGUUCACCUCAGCCACAGACUAACUGGACCACUGUGGGCAUGUAUGUUCUUUAAGCUUUCAGGGCUUCGGUGUCCUUAUUAGAACAAAGAGGACACUGGUUUCCAGUUCUAACCACCACUGUCUUCCAAUUCAACGAAGUAUACACCUAGCAGAAAACAUGGAUUUAAGGAGUGUUCAGAAAAGAUGUGUAGAAUAGCCAUGUACAUAUGGUAACUGCUAUACCUCCUGUGGGGCUGCAUGGGACACUGGACAGGCCCUGAGCAGUGGCUGUCACAUGCAAGAUACACACUGUUCUAAGAUGAAAUGAUUAAUUGGUUCUCACGGGAGUGGGUCCCAAAGCAGAGUAGGGCCUGUCUCAUGGGGACAAAAACAUCUUAAUGUGGCCACUGGGGUUCUCCACUGCCUCCUAGCACUUCCAAGUGGAGCCUUUCAUCUUGCAAGCCACAGUUGGAGUUACUAAGUGUCCCCAGGAAUGCUUAUAGCAGAAAGCCAGUGGAAUCCUCCUGGAGGGAGUUGGAGAGAGAAAGGCUGGGCUGGCCAAGGACACUGUGCUCAGAGAUUGGAGCCACAGGGCUGGAUUAGACUCUGCUUUCCACUGUGUUCCCCUUAAAGAUCUGCAGAAAGAGUGGGUCCCCAGCCGUGAAUGCUGAACAGGUCCAGGCAGCGAUCAUAAUAAGCUGCUAUGUGAGCCAACCUAGUAGAAAAGACACAGAAUGCCCUUACGUCGGCUCCCUGUUUAAUUCCAGCUGAGCUGAAUCUCAGGGCGAGCAGGAGUGAGGCGCAGGAGCCCAUGAGGCCAUCCUUGAAUUGUGGCUGAGCCUGGGAACCGUUUGGAGCCUGGAGGCUCUGGGUCAGCCAGGGCUGUAGCAGUUGGCCGGGUCAUCAGGUUGGCUGGUCCAGGUCUGGAGGGUUUGACCACCAUCUUCCUAACCCCACCCUGCAGCUUAGAUGUUCCUUCCCUUCUCCUUCACUUCAUGGUCCCAGGGUUCUGGAAUAUGUGGCUUUCUCUGCAUUAGGAGGGCUCACAGGGAAAGAUGGUCAUGUGACCCACCCCUCUCCGAUUCUAUGGCUUUCUCCCCGAAUCCUUUGACAAAGCACACGGGUAGGGGGGAAGGAUUUUGACCCCAUGUGGGUAUGAUGAACCCAACUUCUCCAUAUAGCCUCUGUCUUGAAGCAUGAGGGAGGGUUUGUGGCAUAACCAGGCCCAGGAAGGACACAGAUAAAGGAGAGAACCUCAGGUUUAUGAGACGCGUUGUCAGCUGUGGCUGCACGAUCAGACCACUCCAGAACCUUCCUCACUGCUUACCUUCUGUGGAAGAGCCCCAGUCCUGGCAUCUUUACCCUGUGUUGUGCGGUUCAAAUGGAAUGGCGCACGGGGUGGGGGUGGAUUUGUGUAACAGGAGAGCCCUCUGCCAACUCUCCAUCAACUCUGCCAUCUCUACCAACUCCCCAGAAAAACACAAAAAAAGGAAUGUCCGUGUAUUAAUUAUUCCAGGGGGGUCUGGUUCUCCUCUUAAGAGUGGCCAAUGCCAGGAGGGAGGAAAUGGGAGGUGGAAGGAGAUGUAGGGCAGGCAGGAAUGGACCUCCUCUUCUCGGGAUGGCAGCCUCUUAAGGCCUUUGCCGUGUGUCAUAGGUAUGUGGGCUGCACGCACAUGGUCCUCUCCAGUAAUGGACUUGGAAUUAUUUUGCAAAGUUUUGCUCACGUGGUUCCCUAUUACAUGUAACUGGAACAAUGAGAAUGGUCCCAAACAGAAUGUGAGCCAGUGAGUGCCCCCUUCUGGAAAUGAUUUCAGACACAUUUAAGUUAAAAAUAUUUUUUGUGCCUUAGGCAGUGCCUGGCACAUGGUAACCACUCAAUACGUAUUUAUUUGCUAAAUGAAAGGUUGAAUGAACUGGUCUCUGAAGGUUGCUCCAACCCUUUCAAUUGGAUUAAAUUUAGCCAACUCACAGGAGAGGUUUUAGUCCAGCAUAAACAGAACGCACUUCUUACUUUUAGCCUCUCAGAGAAAGAAUGUGUUUCAAACCAGACCACCCAGCUGGUCCAAGUAUCCCGGAAGCUGCAUGGAUUUUAAAUGUUCAGAUUUGCCAAAGCAACUCACGCAGAGUUCACGCGUCAUUUCCGGAUAGAAAUUCACUGAAACAUAAGGAAGGAGGACCUAGCAUAUACAUUUAGUAAUCAGCCUGGUAAUGGAUGAAAAUCAGUAGAAACCAAACAGGUUCUAGAAUUUCUGGAAGGUCCCUUAGGCCAUGUAUACGUUUAUUAGAAAGUUGUCUUUUUAUGAUGAAAAGUAGAAGACCCACGUACCAUAACUUUUUACCUAUAAGCACAUGAUUUGCAAAACCUAGAUUGCAUCUGGUUUUAGUUUUCCACAACUAACACUUUCCUAACUAUUCCCUUCAGCUUGAGCAUAGGUUGAACAAUUAAUUACCAUGUGCCUAGCCUUGUGCCGGUUGCUUGGGGAACACUGCAAUCUUUUUAUUGACUCAGGAAAACAAGAACAUUCAUCAUCAGCUAAGUUAUUUAACAACAGAGUGUGAGAAGCAACGUUCAGAUGACAUAUUGGAUAUGAGCACUAAAGGACCAGAAUGUCCUCAGUAAUUACCCAGGACCAGGAGCACUGCUAUAAGAUGAACCUUCUUGCCCAUACCAAACAGAUGCCAAGGCAUUUAGUGAGCGGAAGGAUUGCCUAACAGUAG